UUCCCUAUGGGGGGCAGCAGUGGGGAAUAUUGCACAAUGGGGGAAACCCUGAUGCAGCGACGCCGCGUGAGCGAAGAAGUAUUUCGGUACGUAAAGCUCUAUCAGCAGGGAAGAAAAUGACGGUACCUGACUAAGAAGCCCCGGCUAACUACGUGCCAGCAGCCGCGGUAAUACGUAGGGGGCAAGCGUUAUCCGGAUUUACUGGGUGUAAAGGGAGCGUAGACGGCGUAUCAAGUCUGAUGUUGAAGGCUGGGGCUCAACCCCUGGACUGCAUUGGAAACUGGUAUGCUUGAGAGCCGGAGGGG
RNAcentral lists this ribosomal RNA (305 nucleotides) under uncultured bacterium. RNAcentral's name for it is "bacterial SSU rRNA". It matches the Rfam family "Bacterial small subunit ribosomal RNA", at positions 335 to 657 of the family's 1533-position model. The record is from RNAcentral.